RNAcentral lists this ribosomal RNA (440 nucleotides) under uncultured bacterium. RNAcentral's name for it is "partial 16S ribosomal RNA". It matches the Rfam family "Bacterial small subunit ribosomal RNA", at positions 338 to 795 of the family's 1533-position model. The record is from RNAcentral.
CCUACGGGAGACAGCAGUGGGGAAUAUUGCUCAAUGGGCGAAAGCCUGAAGCAGCAACGCCGCGUGCAGGAAGAAGGUUUUCGGAUUGUAAACUUCUUUUGUUAGGGAGGAUAAUGCCGGUAUCUCACAAUUAAGCACCGGCUAACGCCGUGCCCGCAGCCGCGGUAAUACGGAGGGUGCAAGCGUUAUCCGGAAUCACUGGGCGUAAAGAGCGCGUAGGCGGGAUAGUAAGUCAGAUGUGAAAUCCUAUGGCUUAACCACAGAACUGCAUUUGAAACUGUUAUGCUAGAGUAUGGGAGAGGUAGGCGGAAUUCUUGGUGUAGGGGUAAAAUGCGUAGAGAUCAAGAAGAACACUCAUUGCGAAGGCGACUUGCUAGAAUACAACUGACGCUGAGGCGCGAAAGCGUGGGGAGCAAACAGGAUUAGAUACCCCAGUAGUC